Molecule: ribosomal RNA, 388 nt
Filed under: uncultured bacterium
Lineage: Bacteria
Description: bacterial SSU rRNA
Rfam family: Bacterial small subunit ribosomal RNA
Source: RNAcentral
GAUUGAACGCUGGCGGCAUGCCUUACACAUGCAAGUCGAACGGCAGCACAGGGGCAACCUUGGUGGCGAGUGGCGAACGGGUGAGUAAAGCAUCGGAACGUACCUGUUAGUGGGGGAUAGCUCGGCGAAAGCCGGAUUAAUACCGCAUACGACCUACGGGUGAAAGCGGGGGAUCGCAAGACCUCGCGCUAUCGGAGCGGCCGAUGUCAGAUUAGGUUGUUGGUGGGGUAAAGGCCUACCAAGCCGACGAUCUGUAGCUGGUCUGAGAGGACGACCAGCCACACUGGGACUGAGACACGGCCCAGACUCCUACGGGAGGCAGCAGUGGGGAAUUUUGGACAAUGGGCGAAAGCCUGAUCCAGCCAUGCCGCGUGCGGGAAGAAGGCCU